Long non-coding RNA from Triticum dicoccoides, 1689 nucleotides. RefSeq lists it as uncharacterized. Lineage: Eukaryota; Viridiplantae; Streptophyta; Magnoliopsida; Poales; Poaceae. The record is from RefSeq and is a predicted model, not a curated record. The transcript is spliced from 2 exons.
GACAUUUACAUGCUUUUAAGUUUUAACAUACUAUCGACUUGCACCCCCUCACCAAUCUUGCGCACACCGCCACUGUCAUGACUCCCACCGCCUCAUCCUCGUGCUGUCGUCGCACUCGUGGCCCUAUCACUCAUUUUCUUCAGCCGAGCAGAGAGGCUGGGCAGCACUCAGUCGUCUUAUUCAGCCGGUCAUGAAGGCCUUGGUGGCUGUGUACAGGUACAGGUACGAUGUGCCUUGGUGGCUGUGUACAGGUACGAUGCAACCUCAGCGGCGCAGCAAACAACAACAAUCAGGCAGUGUACAAGCACUAGGCAGCGACUGAGCGGCGCAGCAAACAACAAUAAGCGGCAGCGACCAACAACAAUCUCCAGUGUUAUUAGGAUGCAACCUCUGAUGAUCACUCGUCACAUUCGUCGUCCAUUGAUUUUUACAAUCCUGUGAUGUUGGCAGAACGAUGAGUUGUGGCUACCUGAACUUUUGAUUUGUUCUGCACUGCAGCGUCUAAUGCACCGUUCAGUUUAAUCAAGUGACUAUGGUUGUGAUAUAUAACAGAAUGGUUGGCAAGAAAAGACUAUGCCAAUUACGACAAACGAGGCCAGAAGAAGUUCAUCAAAAGAUAAUGGUUGUUGUUCUGAUUCAGUCAAAUUCAUCAAAAGAGAAAGCAAUACAGUUCCUUACAUCCAGUCACGUCAGAAGAAGUUCUGCGCUGGACUGCGGUUACUUUCUGCUUACUAUCUUCUUGUUGCCCAGGAACCAUACAUAUUAGUUUACAGGCUUGGAUACCGUUAAGAGAAGCAAGAAAACAAACAUCCAAAAUACAAAGACAACUCAGUCCCUUAGAUGUUCUUUGACCAUGCGAUCAUUUCCGCAGGAGUCAUUACAGGUCUGUAACUGUAAAAUUGGCUCAUCACAGUUGUCCAAAUAAGAACACAAAGAGCGUAUCAAAGGGGAUUUUGUGUGUGACAAGAACAUGUAUGUACAGAGCCACCGGUGCAAUAAAAAUAAGAAGCUGGUAAUACUAAGAAUGUUUUUCAGAAAACUCUCAAAUAUUAACUCUCAAAUAUGGCUAACAGAGCACAGAUCCACCAAUGCAGAUUCAGAAGUAUGUCAAUCAGCCAUCUACCGAGUCAGAUUCAGAAGUAUGUCAAUCAGCACAGAUCCACCAAUGCAGACCCUAAGACUGGGGCGACAAAUAUGAAAUCAUUAUCCUCAAACUGGUUUGGAAGAUCAUUGCAAGCAUCGAAGUAUCUGUUGUGCAUUCGCAAUCAAAGUUUAAGUGACCUGAAGAACCUAAUCCCUCUUGACAACAACCACAAAAGAUACCACAAAAGAAAACGAAUAGGAACUCGAUAAGAAACACUAAAAAAAAGGAACUCGGUAAGAACGUGGCAACUGAUAAUCACACCUGGAAGAUCAUAUUUAUUGUACAAAAAAUCAACAUAUUUAAUAAGCAGAUAGAAAUUCCUUCUCUAUUUAGUUUAGUUUAAUCAUAAGCCAAAUACAAAAAAAGAAUUAACAUGGAAAACCAAGAUAGUAUAUAAGAAGAGGACUCAGAAUAUGGGUGGUGAUAUAGCAGGAUGGUCGGCAAGGCAAAUAAAUGCCAGUUACGACGAACGAGACCAAAUAUCAAUCUUCACCGUCCUCCAAGGAAUCUAUACAUCUACACCAUAAUAAUGUAGGGUUCUACAU